GCCAAAAAUCUAGCCCUACUUGACCCAAUUAACCUAUAAUCUAAAACCAUAAAUAAAAACAUUUUCCCCUUUUAGUAAAGGCGAUUGAAAAAUUCAUUAGAGCUAUAACAACAGUACCGCAAGGAAAAGAUGAAAUAAAAAUGAAACAAACCUCAAGCAUGAUAAAGCAAAGACAUACCCUUGUACCUUUUGCAUCAUGAUCUAUCUAGUCUAAUCAAGCGGAAAGAACUUAAGUUUGACAUCCCGAAACUAGACGAGCUACUUCGAGGCAGCUUAACGAGCCCACCCGUCUCUGUUGCAAAAGAGUGGGAAGACCCCCAAGUAGCGGUGACAGACCUAACGAGCCUAGUGAUAGCUGGUUACUUAAGAAAAGGAUUUUAGUCCAACCUAAAACAUAUAUAAUACACUUAAAUAUCACCUAUGAUUUAGUGACACUCAAACGAGGUACAGCCCGUUUGAAAUAAGGACACAACCUACACUAAUGGGUAACUCCUCACUUUUAUUAAUCAAGUGGGCCUAAAAGCAGCCACCUUUAAAAUAGCGUCAAAGCUUUAUUUUAUAAAACACUAAUAACACAACCCCCUGUAAACCCUUUAUCAGUAUUAAGUCUUUCUAUAUUCUUAUAGAAGUAUUUAUGUUAGAACUAGUAAUAAGAAGACAGACCUUCUCUUAAAUGUAGGUGUAAAUCAGAAAGGACAAACCACUGAUAAUUAACCACUAAUGAACACAAAACAACAACUUAACCGGAAAACCCUGUUUUACAUAGUGUUGAUCUAACACCAGCACAUUGCAAGAAAGAUUAAAAGAAAAAGAAGGAACUCGGCAAAUAUUAACCCCGCCUGUUUACCAAAAACAUCGCCUCUUGACCCCUUAUAAGAGGUCCAGCCUGCCCAGUGACUAAGUUCAACGGCCGCGGUAUCCUAACCGUGCGAAGGUAGCGUAAUCACUUGUUCUUUAAAUAAGGACUAGUAUGAAUGGCAUCACGAGGGUUAUACUGUCUCCUUUUUCUAAUCAAUGAAACUGAUCUCCCCGUGAAGAAGCGGGGAUAAAUUUAUAAGACGAGAAGACCCUAUGGAGCUUCAAAUGAUAUAGCACUGGCCCUUUCUCUUUACAUUUCAGAAAUAUUAUAUUUAAACAAGCCAAAAUGACUAUUAAUUUUAGGUUGGGGUGACCGCGGAGCAGAAACCAACCUCCAUGUUGAACGGAGCUACUCCUUAGCCAAAAGCCACAGCUCUAAGCAACAACAAAUUGACACUAAUUGACCCAAUACUUUGAUCAACGAACCAAGUUACCCUAGGGAUAACAGCGCAAUCCAUUUCAAGAGCUCCUAUCGACAAGUGGGUUUACGACCUCGAUGUUGGAUCAGGGUAUCCCAGUGGUGCAGCCGCUACUAAAGGUUCGUUUGUUCAACGAUUAAAACCCU
This 1423-nucleotide ribosomal RNA is filed under the name Dendropsophus rhodopeplus (red-skirted treefrog). Its description in RNAcentral is "partial 16S ribosomal RNA". It matches the Rfam family "Bacterial large subunit ribosomal RNA", at positions 384 to 2597 of the family's 2925-position model. The record is from RNAcentral. Lineage: Eukaryota; Metazoa; Chordata; Amphibia; Anura; Hylidae.